UACGUAGGGGGCAAGCGUUGUCCGGAAUUAUUGGGCGUAAAGAGCGUGUAGGCGGUCCGGUAAGUCGGCUGUGAAAGUCCAGGGCUCAACCCUGGGAUGCCGGUCGAUACUGCCGGACUAGAGUUCGGAAGAGGCGAGUGGAAUUCCCGGUGUAGCGGUGAAAUGCGCAGAUAUCGGGAGGAACACCUAUGGCGAAGGCAGCUCGCUGGGACGUUACUGACACUGAGGCGCGAAAAGCGUGGGGGAGCGAACAGG
Molecule: ribosomal RNA, 255 nt
Filed under: uncultured bacterium
Lineage: Bacteria
Description: partial 16S ribosomal RNA
Rfam family: Bacterial small subunit ribosomal RNA
Source: RNAcentral